RNAcentral lists this unclassified non-coding RNA (747 nucleotides) under Leishmania donovani. RNAcentral describes it as "gene:unknown". Lineage: Eukaryota; Euglenozoa; Kinetoplastea; Trypanosomatida; Trypanosomatidae. The record is from RNAcentral.
AUCGGCUCGUUCCUUGCAUGUUUCUUCUGUCCUCGCCACCCCUCCCUCGAUGAUGCCGGGGCGCCUAACCGUCGUGUCACAGGGCCCGGCACCCCGCUCUUCGAUGUCGACGGAGAUAGGCGGGAAGAGAUGCAUUACGAGCCGAUCGCACGGCGCACGCGUGCGACGCAUGCGGCAUUGCAUCUCCUCCAUCCGACCGUGCGAGCCGAUGAGGUGCAGGCGCCGGAAGUGUGACGCGAGCACCCCCGAAGGGCCGCGCCGAGUCCUCCAGGCUCCAGUGGGGAGAGCCUCCAAGUCAUAUUCUAGGAUGCCGCAGCUGGAGGCAGCUCAGGGCGGAGCAUGGCACACAGGCAGGGUGCAGGGUCUUCGAGGGCCCAGCCCUGAGGCUGCCCAGCAUCGUCCCUGAGCUCAUCCGGCAUAUCACCAUGGCCAUCCCCUAUCACCCGCGCGACAGACGUCGGUCGUGGGCGGUGGGUGUGCAUGCGCACAGUUAUGGGCUUGCUCCGUGGUAGAGUGCACACGCUGCGUGAGCCACAGCAAUAUCCGCUCGUCCUUCCCCCUCUCUGUGUUUCUCUGUCCUGCGAUGCUGCUGUGGCUUGGCACGCACGCACGCACGCGCGCGCGCGUUGCCGACUGAUGACUGCGUGCGCCCUCUGCGUCGCUCCCACUCCGCCUUCAACACUCACGCGCUUUUCCUUCCUCGUCUUCUCUUUGCCAUCGCACGCAUACACAUGCUGGCCCGGCCAG